Molecule: ribosomal RNA, 574 nt
Filed under: Naganishia adeliensis
Lineage: Eukaryota; Fungi; Basidiomycota; Tremellomycetes; Filobasidiales; Filobasidiaceae
Description: partial large subunit ribosomal RNA
Rfam family: Eukaryotic large subunit ribosomal RNA
Source: RNAcentral
GAGCGGGAAGAGCUCAAAUUUGAAAUCUGGUAGCCUUCGGUUGCCCGAGUUGUAAUCUAGAGAAGUGUUUUCCGUGCCGGCCCAUGUACAAGUCCCUUGGAACAGGGCGUCAUAGAGGGUGAGAAUCCCGUCCUUGACAUGGACCCCCGGUGCUUUGUGAUACACUUUCAACGAGUCGAGUUGUUUGGGAAUGCAGCUCAAAAUGGGUGGUGAAUUCCAUCUAAAGCUAAAUAUUGGCGAGAGACCGAUAGCGAACAAGUACCGUGAGGGAAAGAUGAAAAGCACUUUGGAAAGAGAGUUAAACAGUACGUGAAAUUGUUGAAAGGGAAACGAUUGAAGUCAGUCAUGCUCUUAGGAUUCAGCCGUUCUGCGGUGUAUUUCCUUUGAGUGGGGUCAACAUCAGUUUUGAUCGAUGGAUAAAGGCACGAGGAAGGUAGCACUCUCGGGUGAACUUAUAGCCUCGCGUCAUAUACAUUGAUUGGGACUGAGGAACGCAGCAUGCCUUUAUGGCCGGGAUUCGUCCACGUACAUGCUUAGGAUGUUGACAUAAUGGCUUUAAACGACCCGUCUUGAA